AGUCAACAGUUGUGAAAACCAAUAACAGAUGUUAUAUUUGUGCCAUCGUCAACCUUGUUGGUCAAUGCUCCAUUUAUUAUGGCUCAAAGGCAACUCUAAACCUGUGGGCUUUCUAGUCUUGAUUUAAAUGAACUCAGCGUUCCGGCUGUUCUACAAUUUUCUGGAAGUUUGUUUCAGAUUCGAGGCUCAUAGAAGCUGGAUGCCGCCUCUAAGAUCACUCUCUGCUGAUAGUCGUAAACAAUCAGGUUAGGAGCUGCUGAACGGCUCCGGGCUGCUUGGCUCAGCAGAUUGCGAUUGCCGAACUCGUUACAGAUCUGGCAGAACGAAUGUUAACUUUGAUGCCCCCCGGCCAUCAGCUGCUGAACGAGGAGAGAAUAAAGAGCGAAUGGCUCUCCAAGGUGUUCUGAAAGUGGUGACGAAGCAGCUGCAUCUAGGUCGUGGUCGUUAGGGAUCAGACAGAUGUGCAACCGGGAACUCGUCAAGGGAUUGGUGGCAGCAAUGUUAGCGUCGCACCUUGGCCAAACCUCCUCCACCCACAAGCUAAGCAUCUGCCGGGAUUUAGACGGAUUGGAUUGUGGCCAUGCGCUUCACCCACAUGCUCAUUUUGACUGAUGUCUUUUCAAAGUUUAGCCAGGCUGCUGGAGGGAGAAAACCCCAAAACAAAACAAGAGAGCCUCUACCAUAACCAACGCCUCCUAUAAACGGUCUUGUUAAGAGUCUCUGCUGAAACUUUGACAGUGCUGUCGUACAUCGGCCAUCAGACUGUUCAGGUCGUUUUGACACGAGGCUUUCUGAAGUUACUUGCGUUUCAAAACUCCAAUCAUCAUCGCACUGCGUAAAUGUUAGUGAUGAAGGAGGAAGCAGCUAAAUUAGUGCACUAUUUUUCAUAUUGGGUGAAUUAUAUUCUAACUGGAGUUAGCAUCUGUAUAUCUCUAAAAUGUGUAAAUGCAAAUGCUGCUGCAGCAUUUUCACUGACUGAAACAUGACUGACAGACGUUGAAAUAAACCCUUUAGCUGUCCACUCACUGCUAACGGCGGCCAUGUUGGAUUUUGACGUCAGACCAGGUGAGUAACCUCAAAGUUUUCUAUUCUGACUCCAGGCGUGUCCCAGUUGUCUUCGCUAACUUGGAAAUCCAAAAGUCCAACUUCUGAAAACGACUUGAACACAACAGGAUUUUUUUCCUGUAUGCCAGUCAGGAUAAAGUCGGGUUUUUAAUGCUUUAUAAAACCGUAGUGGCAGAAAUGUUUAAGCCUGUUUAAACGGCUUACAGCUACUUACUGGAGCCCUGUUUCCAAGAAACGUGAGGAAGCGUCAUAACAGAAACUAAAUCCUCCGUUUUAUGAAGCAGAACUGAACAGAACAGACGUUGGACCGGGUCAGAACAGCAGCUGACCUGCAAGUUUUAUCUGAUCUGAUGUGGAGGAAUAAAGAAGGAGUAAAUACCUAAUAAGUAACACCUAAUAAGAAAAUUCAGAUAUUAUUCAGAAACGAUUACUGCAUAAGAACGGGGGGGAAAAUAGCAAACCCAGUAUGUUGGAAAAAACCCUUUGUUUUUCAUUUAUUGCAGUUAAUAAUUGAGAAUCCCAGAAUAAAUCGGGACACUGAAGAUGAACUGCUGUGAUAAAAAGUUUUAAAGUUCAGAAGCGAGAACGUUUUGUCCCACUGACGCGCAAAAAGCUUUUUGAAUUUUCCAGACACACAAAACCACAUUUUAUAGCAUGCUACCAUGAGAUGCUAUGAAAAAUGCCAAACAUAAAUCAAUCAUGACUUGAAGGAAAUUUUAUUUCACAAUUUAACGCCUUGAAAUUGGGCCUCCGUCUCUUUAAGAAACUCUUGCUCUUUCCGACACUCCGCCUUCAGGGCGUCAUGACGACCUUUCCACACUGACCCUUUAACGCUGGUUUUACCACAGUUUCAAGCAGCAGUGCUGUUCCACCAGGUGUUUGCUAACAGCUGCUGCCGCUAGUCUGGAGGAGCUGAGCUUGGUAAGCUAAAGUCACAAAAUAAAUUCACAAAAAUUAUCGCAAUGACGCAAAAUUUCAUCUUGCAGGAUUUAUUCUUUCCUGAUCCCAGUGUUAAUGUUGAGAAGAGGAACCCGCAGCCUUUAACUGACGGGCUUGAGGAUUUAGCAGAACUAGAGUGGAUUGUUGCACACAAUUAGUCUGAGAAAAAACUGACAACCUUAUUUGCAUUUUUCCCUGGUAACCAGUGUUUUUGCACUCAGAAUUCCCUAAAUGUCAUUUUCUGCUUAUUGAAUAUUAAAUACAUGUCUGUGUUUCCUCUCAGAUAAAGAACGAUCCCAGAGUAAUUACUAAGGUAUUAAUCAUCCUCGUACGCCACAAAACCCCCGACGGAUCUCCGUGUCCUGCCGAGAUUUUCCCCUGAGAGGUCGGAUCCAUUCAGAAGAACUUGAGAGAGCUGCAGGGUAAGAUGCUUUGCUGCAGUGAUAUUUGCAGAUCUCUAAACAAGAGGAGCGACGAACGACGGAGAAGGUUGUCCAUCACUCUGGAUGAGCAAAGCACGGGUCAGCAACGGCAGCGAGAAAACGUGAACGUUCAAGAGGAGCCAUGCUGAGAGACAGCAGCUCCUUAAAGAGACAGAGGCCCAAUUUCAAGGUGUUACAUUUCAAAGUCAAAUUUCUUUUAAGUUAUUUUUGAUACGUGACGCAAAAGUUACCUUCAGUUUGUCUAAAAACUGAAGGUAAACUCAGUAACUUUAUUGUGCUGUAAGAUGAUUCUGUGUGGCUGGAAAACACAUUUUCCCUUUCAAGAGCUCCAUCCUCACAUCUUCCUGUCUCAAGUUUCACACAGACGAUUCUGAGGCUCCUCCGGCGGAUUCCCCAAAGCGCUGACGUUAUUGAAUGUGAAGUGCCAUGCGGAAGUCCAUUCAGUCCGAAGCAUCGGAGCCGAAGACUUUUGGCUCGAAGCUGUUAUUAUUUUAGCUCCAGUGUUGUUGCUGGAAGGUGACUCAUCUCCCCCGGCAACCGGCUGGUGCAGUCGGGAGCACAAGCACCAACCCGGCCUGCAGGGACCUCUGCUGUUCCCUCCCAACCCGCUUUCAUCCAUUAAUGACGACGUUAAUCCCUGUUGUGUUUGUGACACAAAUCAUCCAAAGUUAAAGCCCAGUUAUUUUGGACCAGUGGUGUCCUGAGUGCAGCCCGGGGGCCGUUUGCAGCAAAUUUGAGAAGGUUAUAAAUUUGGAGUUGAUGAAAGAUGGUGGAAAAAAUUUUCAUUUAGAUGAACACGCUUGGCUAAUUAUUAGCUUAGGUUUGUUUGUUUGUUUUAUUUUUAGACUGAACAGUUAACCUGGUGAAAGAAAAUUGUUCCAAUAUGUGUCCAACAUGGGAUUUUCAUUAAUAAUUAUAUUCAUUAAAGGAAUUAUUGCAUAAUUAGUACAUAAUAAAAGGUAUCAUGUACGUUUUAUUGCAUAUUGUGGCAUUUUGUGGCUCAGUUCCAGCAGAUGUCUGCUAAUUGCUGCUGGCUAGUCCAGGGAGGAUCUUCGUCCUCGAAGGCGGAGCCAAGUCCACCCAGGCAUUUUGUACAGCUGAAUGGUUGCCAUGGAGAUUGAAGGAUUUCUCAAAGAUGCAUGAGAGAAUCAACGCAACAAUCCAGCUGAACUUCGCCAGCAGCUCGGAUUGCACCGCGCCGUCCGCCCGCUUCCUCCAUGCAGCCCAAAGCUGAACGGCUCCUGCCGGCGAUAAAGACGCUGCAGGGCGCGACCCAAAACCAACGCCACCAAACCCAGGGGCUUCCUGUUGGUGGCGUCUGGAGCGCCGCCACUUUCAGCUCAUUUUCUCUCUGGAAGCUGCUGGAUGAUCGUCGUUUCGCCGCAUCAGCAGCUUUGGAGCUGUCAGGUGUGAGGACAUCAGCUAGACAGGUUUUCAUUUGAAUGAUUAGGGAAGUAGCAAAAAAGAAAGUCACAUGUUUAAAAUACCCGAAAAUGCAACGUAACUGGAGCAUUUUCAAUUCAAACCUUUUUUUUUUUUUUUUUUUUUACAAACCUGCAGCAUGUAAAUUUUACAGCAUGACAAAGUCUAGCUAGAAUCAAGAAAUUUUCUAGAAAAAGCCUUGGAAAUUUUGAGAAAUUAAAAAUUUGCUAGAAAACAAUAAACAUCAAUUUUGGGAGUGGGUGCAGAAUUCUUUUGGGGGAAAAAGUAAUUCUUUUUAGAAAUAAAAUCACAAUUUUCCUAAAAAAAACAAAAACUUACUGCUAAAAGGAUUUCUGGGUAUAAUGGUUAGGGGGGCCAGGGUCCGAAUAUUCAGAAUAUUUCUUUUUUUUUUUUUUGUAAAUUCUGAGUUUAAUUAUUGUUAUUCUUUGGUUUCCUGGGUUUAAUGUUGACAAUUUACAAAAAUAAA
Xiphophorus maculatus (southern platyfish) is the source of this 4356-nucleotide long non-coding RNA. RefSeq lists it as uncharacterized. The transcript is spliced from 3 exons. NCBI's taxonomy places the organism in Eukaryota, Metazoa, Chordata, Actinopteri, Cyprinodontiformes, Poeciliidae. The record is from RefSeq and is a predicted model, not a curated record.